RNAcentral lists this ribosomal RNA (588 nucleotides) under Salmonella enterica subsp. enterica serovar Agona str. 0322. Its description in RNAcentral is "bacterial SSU rRNA". It matches the Rfam family "Bacterial small subunit ribosomal RNA", at positions 1 to 576 of the family's 1533-position model. The record is from RNAcentral. Lineage: Bacteria; Pseudomonadati; Pseudomonadota; Gammaproteobacteria; Enterobacterales; Enterobacteriaceae.
ACUUAAAUUGAAGAGUUUGAUCAUGGCUCAGAUUGAACGCUGGCGGCAGGCCUAACACAUGCAAGUCGAACGGUAGCACAGAGAGCUUGCUCUCGGGUGACGAGUGGCGGACGGGUGAGUAAUGUCUGGGAAACUGCCUGAUGGAGGGGGAUAACUACUGGAAACGGUGGCUAAUACCGCAUAACGUCGCAAGACCAAAGAGGGGGACCUUCGGGCCUCUUGCCAUCAGAUGUGCCCAGAUGGGAUUAGCUGGUUGGUGAGGUAACGGCUCACCAAGGCGACGAUCCCUAGCUGGUCUGAGAGGAUGACCAGCCACACUGGAACUGAGACACGGUCCAGACUCCUACGGGAGGCAGCAGUGGGGAAUAUUGCACAAUGGGCGCAAGCCUGAUGCAGCCAUGCCGCGUGUAUGAAGAAGGCCUUCGGGUUGUAAAGUACUUUCAGCGGGGAGGAAGGUGUUGUGGUUAAUAACCGCAGCAAUUGACGUUACCCGCAGAAGAAGCACCGGCUAACUCCGUGCCAGCAGCCGCGGUAAUACGGAGGGUGCAAGCGUUAAUCGGAAUUACUGGGCGUAAAGCGCACGCAGGC